GACGGGUGAGUAAUGCUUGGGAAUCUACCUAGUAGUGGGGGAUAGCCCGGGGAAACCCGGAUUAAUACCGCAUACGCCCUACGGGGGAAAGCAGGGGAUCUUCGGACCUUGCGUUAUUAGAGCGGCCGAUAUCUGAUUAGGUAGUUGGUAGGGUAAAGGCCUACCAAGCCGACGAUCAGUAGCUGGUCUGAGAGGACGAUCAGCCACACUGGAACUGAGACACGGUCCAGACUCC
This 235-nucleotide ribosomal RNA is filed under the name uncultured bacterium. Its description in RNAcentral is "partial 16S ribosomal RNA". It matches the Rfam family "Bacterial small subunit ribosomal RNA", at positions 102 to 339 of the family's 1533-position model. The record is from RNAcentral.